RNAcentral lists this ribosomal RNA (253 nucleotides) under uncultured bacterium. RNAcentral describes it as "partial 16S ribosomal RNA". It matches the Rfam family "Bacterial small subunit ribosomal RNA", at positions 524 to 776 of the family's 1533-position model. The record is from RNAcentral.
UACGGAGGGGGCUAGCGUUGUUCGGGAUUACUGGGCGUAAAGCGCGCGUAGGCGGAUCUGUAAGUUGGGGGUGAAAUCCCGAGGCUCAACCUCGGAACUGCCUUCGAUACUGCAGAUCUCGAGUCCGAGAGAGGUGAGUGGAAUUCCUAGUGUAGAGGUGAAAUUCGUAGAUAUUAGGAAGAACACCAGUGGCGAAGGCGGCUCACUGGCUCGGUACUGACGCUGAGGCGCGAAAGCGUGGGGAGCAAACAGG